UUUUUUAAUUGGAAGCUUGUAUGAAUGGUUGAAUGAGAUAUUAACUGUAUCAUAAAAAAUAAAUUAGAAUUUUAUUUUUUAGUUAAAAAGCUAAAAUAAAUUUAAAGGACGAGAAGACCCUAUAGAGUUUUAUAAAAUUAUUUUUAAUUAAUUUUUUUUUAAUAAUAUGUUUAAUGAAUUAAAAAUAAUUUAUUUUGUUGGGGAGAUAAUAAAAUUUAAUUAACUUUUAUAUAAUUUAUAUAUAUAUAUAUAUAUAUUAUUUAACAAAAAUUAUUGAUUACUUGAUCCUUUAUAUAGAUUAAUAGGUUAAAUUACCUUAGGGAUAACAGCGUAAUUUUUUUUUGGAGUUCUUAUUUAUAAAAAAGAUUGC
Molecule: ribosomal RNA, 370 nt
Filed under: Macrocera vittata
Lineage: Eukaryota; Metazoa; Arthropoda; Insecta; Diptera; Keroplatidae
Description: partial 16S ribosomal RNA
Source: RNAcentral